UUUUUCCACGGAUUUUAAUUUUGAUUUUGUGCAGAUUUAACGAUUGGGGUUACUUCUUACUCGGUGCAAAUCUUAAGGCUUUCAUUGAUUCACUGUUUAGGUGUCCAUACGAGUCAUGCAAGAGUUGCUGCUCAAAAGCUCAAAAUCCAUGUCAUACUCAUGUUUUGAAAUCAAAUGCAACAUUUCCAGACAAGGCACCAACCUCAAGCUCUCCUCUAUUUGACCAUCAAUCAAUUGAGGCAUCACCAUCAGGGAAUUCACAUCGAGUUGCAUCACUCUGGCAACUUUCGAACAAUUUUACUCAAUUCAAUAAUGUGCAUCUUCCCAUUUGACCAAAAAGGAUGUCGUGGCUAUUAAUGAGUGGAGAUUUUCCAAGUUAAAGGAAUACUACAAGGACAGAAACAUCGAAGUGGAAAUGGACCUUUUGAUCGAUACACGCAGAAUGUGACCCUUUUAGAGGAAGUGUUUUCUGUGAAAUCUUUCAUGGAGGAGUCCAUUGGGGAUGAAGCUGAACUCAAAUCCAUUUCAACCGAUAAUACUACUACUGCUACUACAGAAGAAGACACUGAGGCUAUGGUCUCAGGGUUGAAGUUGAAGUUGAGAUCAAAUCCAAUGAGAACCAAUAACUUCAGAAAGAGGAUACAGCAUGCUGUUGAUGAGGGAUUAAAGACUUAAAAAAACGUGAGUUAGAUGAUGGGGGAGAAGGAACAAAGUGUGGGAACUGAAUUGGAUCAGGGGCCCAAAGAAGGGGAAAAAUGGGGGGCCGAAAGGGAUUCUGCUGUAGGCGAUCUCAUUGAUAUGCUGAACAAGGCCCGAAAUGAGGAGGAUCUGAAGUUGUGCUUGGAGAUGAAAUCUCAGCUCUUCAAGGAACAUAAUUGACUAGUACAUCAGAAUCUGAAGAGAAAGAGGCUACGAAGAAUGAUUAAGAACCCCGAAAAGAGUCGAAUUAUUCAUUUCCCAAAGUCGUUAGCACUACCGAAAUCGAUCAAGAAACUCUCAAUAUCGUCCACACUCACUACUCUUCCCUUGAGCAUAUACAAGGUAGAGGAUCUAUGAUUUGUGGGAGUUGCUAUAGAUUAAUGUAGUUUCUUCCCAGAGUUUCCUUUCUAGUCAAUAAUAAAUCAAAGGAUGCUUAGAAGUUGCUUCAAAUCUACAUUUUCAAUUUGGAUCCAACAAUGGCAACUGAUUUUUCUUGUUUUAAUGUAGCAAUGAAAAUUGCAUAAAGCCAAGGACCCCUUGGGUAGGCUAAUGAUUCUUCAUCUUGAUAGCUGUUUUCUGUAAUAUAUUGAGUGUAGGG
This is a long non-coding RNA of Prunus mume (Japanese apricot), 1297 nucleotides long. RefSeq lists it as uncharacterized. NCBI's taxonomy places the organism in Eukaryota, Viridiplantae, Streptophyta, Magnoliopsida, Rosales, Rosaceae. The record is from RefSeq and is a predicted model, not a curated record.